This 369-nucleotide small nuclear RNA is filed under the name Myotis lucifugus (little brown bat). Its description in RNAcentral is "7SK RNA (ENSMLUG00000029644.1)". The stretch from base 1 to 331 matches the Rfam family "7SK RNA". From Rfam's summary of the family: 7SK was discovered as an abundant small nuclear RNA in the mid-70s but a possible function has only recently been suggested. Two independent studies have found that 7SK RNA binds the CDK9/cyclin T complex (known as elongation factor P-TEFb). P-TEFb activates transcription by phosphorylating the C-terminal domain of RNA polymerase II. Lineage: Eukaryota; Metazoa; Chordata; Mammalia; Chiroptera; Vespertilionidae. The record is from Rfam by way of RNAcentral.
AAAUGUAAGGGCAAUUUGGCUAUACAACAUGUCACUACAUUAAUAUCUAGUGUAGCUUGAGACAAUCUAGCUAACAAUGUAGAUGUGUUUUUUUUUACUCCCCUCUUUAUAUGUGGCCUUCCAGAGGUGUUCCUUUUGCCCAAGAUGAUAAUUUUUAUCUAAAGAGAACUUUUCAUUAGGUAAGAGUACCUAAGUGGAGACUCACCCUAUUAGAAUCUCUUAAGCAAAGACCUACCACAGUUGAUUGCACCAUCUGGCCAGAGUGUGCACUAUGUAACUAGGCAAGAGUUCUCCAAAAACCCCAGCCAGGGUUGGGUAUAAUCGGGGUUGGGAGAUGAUCCAGGUGAGGUGUACAUUCUGCUUGUUUGG